CUACGGGCGGCACCAGUGAGGAAUAUUGCGCAAUGGGGGAAACCCUGACGCAGCGACGCCGCGUGGAUGAUGAAGGCCUUCGGGUCGUAAAAUCCUGUCAGAAGGAAAGAAGUGUAUGGUAGCUAAUAUCUGCCAUACUUGACGGUACCUUCAAAGGAAGCACCGGCUAACUCCGUGCCAGUAGCCGCGGUAAUACGGAGGGUGCAAGCGUUGUUCGGAAUUACUGGGCGUAAAGCGCGCGUAGGCGGUUUUAUAAGUCAGAUGUGAAAGUCCACGGCUCAACCAUGGAAGUGCAUUUGAAACUGUAAGACUUGAGUAUUGGAGGGGGUAGUGGAAUUCCCGGUGUAGAGGUGAAAUUCGUAGAUAUCGAGAGGAAUACCGGUGGCGAAGGCGACUAUCUGGCCAAAUACUGACGCUGAGGUGCGAAAGCGUGGGGAGCAAACAGGAUUAGAUACCCCCGUAGUC
This 465-nucleotide ribosomal RNA is filed under the name uncultured bacterium. RNAcentral describes it as "partial 16S ribosomal RNA". It matches the Rfam family "Bacterial small subunit ribosomal RNA", at positions 339 to 795 of the family's 1533-position model. The record is from RNAcentral.